Molecule: long non-coding RNA, 430 nt
Organism: Neopsephotus bourkii (Bourke's parrot)
Lineage: Eukaryota; Metazoa; Chordata; Aves; Psittaciformes; Psittacidae
Exons: 4
Source: RefSeq, a predicted model, not a curated record
CCUGGGGACCUGGAGGUGAGGACAGCGGGGUGGUGGCAUUUCUGUCCCCAGCACCCUGCAUGGGACACGGGAGCUGUUUCAGGAUGAGGGAAAAUCCCCUUUGAUGCAGAUGCCCGGUUUGGGGGCUCCUGGCAGCGGCUGCUGCUCGAAGCAGUAGAGAGAGCCGGGGCUCGGUGCUUCCCAGUGCACAGUCACGGUGCCACCGGUCACGCUGACAUCCUUGAAGCCAAGAUCUGGGAUGAAAUGCAGGGGGGAUGAAGAUGGAGCUGCUCCAGUCACUCCAGUAGCUGCUCCAGUGGGGGAGCUUGUGUCGGAGCUGGACCUCGAAGGCGCCGUCCCCCCCCAGGGUGCAGGUCACUGGAGUGGGGACUCAGCCCAACCCUGCCCCGGCUGCACCGCGUGUCCCGGCCACGCCACGUGCCCCAGCCUG